UGCAGCCGAUACGGGCAGGCUAGAGUUCGGUAGGGGAGACUGGAAUUCCUGGUGUAGCGGUGAAAUGCGCAGAUAUCAGGAGGAACACCGGUGGCGAAGGCGGGUCUCUGGGCCGAUACUGACGCUGAGGAGCGAAAGCGUGGGGAGCGAACAGGAUUAGAUACCCUGGUAGUCCACGCUGUAAACGUUGGGCGCUAGGUGUGGGGGGCCUCUCCGGUUCUCUGUGCCGCAGCUAACGCAUUAAGCGCCCCGCCUGGGGAGUACGGCCGCAAGGCUAAAACUCAAAGGAAUUGACGGGGGCCCGCACAAGCGGCGGAGCAUGCGGAUUAAUUCGAUGCAACGCGAAGAACCUUACCUGGGUUUGACAUGGCCGCAAAACCUGCAGAGAUGUGGGGUCCUUCGGGGGCGGUCACAGGGUGGUGCAUAA
Molecule: ribosomal RNA, 427 nt
Filed under: Micromonospora sp. WYP-55
Lineage: Bacteria; Bacillati; Actinomycetota; Actinomycetes; Micromonosporales; Micromonosporaceae
Description: bacterial SSU rRNA
Rfam family: Bacterial small subunit ribosomal RNA
Source: RNAcentral